Non-coding RNA from Salvelinus sp. IW2-2015, 273 nucleotides. NCBI's taxonomy places the organism in Eukaryota, Metazoa, Chordata, Actinopteri, Salmoniformes, Salmonidae. The record is from RefSeq and is a predicted model, not a curated record.
GUUACAAUGUCCGUUGGUGCUGUGUGAGUACCUGUGCUGUCUGUCUCCCGAAUCAUUCAUGCCAGCAUGACAGAAUAAUCGACCAUUAAGGGAGACAGCCCGUCUGACGUCGCCACAAUGGGUCCAUCCGACAACACAACUUCAGCAACUGGUCCAUCCGACGGCGCCGCAACUUCGGCAGCUGCAUCUGGCCCUGAUCGACUCGCACUGCAUUCCUGUGAUGUCGUUGAUGUGAUUUGGUUGAAAUAAAGACCCAUAUUGCGCAAAUUUAAA